RNAcentral lists this ribosomal RNA (253 nucleotides) under uncultured bacterium. RNAcentral's name for it is "partial 16S ribosomal RNA". It matches the Rfam family "Bacterial small subunit ribosomal RNA", at positions 524 to 776 of the family's 1533-position model. The record is from RNAcentral.
UACGUAGGGAGCGAGCGUUGUCCGAAGUUACUGGGCGUAAAGCGCGCGUAGGCGGGCUGUUAAGUGAGAGGUGAAAGGCUGGGGCUCAACCCGGGAACUGCGUCCGAUACUGGAAGGCUUGAAUCCGGGAGAGGGAUGCGGAAUUCCAGGUGUAGCGGUGAAAUGCGUAGAUAUCUGGAGGAACACCGGUGGCGAAGGCGGCAUCCUGGACCGGCAUUGACGCUGAGGCGCGAAAGCCAGGGGAGCAAACGGG